This is a long non-coding RNA of Mobula hypostoma (lesser devil ray), 785 nucleotides long. RefSeq lists it as uncharacterized. Lineage: Eukaryota; Metazoa; Chordata; Chondrichthyes; Myliobatiformes; Myliobatidae. The record is from RefSeq and is a predicted model, not a curated record. The transcript is spliced from 3 exons.
UUAUUUCUGGGAAGUCAAGUUUUGCCAUUUAUUGCACAUUUAUGAUUCAUGUAAACAUCUUUAACUGAAGAAGUUUCAUGGCAAUGUUUACCUGGGCACGCUGAGCAAGAUGAAUUUUGACAGUGUUCUGUUGUCAAAGGGACUGGCAGGAAAAGAUAUGCUGCCACCCAGAUGUUCUUAACCAGGCCAAUGGGUUUCUGUUGGAAUUUCUACAAUUAUUUGGUAACCAGCAAACUCUUGGUAUAUAAAGGUUCUGUCAAAGACCCUGACCUAGAUCUACACUCAAACUUUGAUGCUUUGCAGUGAUGGGGCUCACCGACAGGCGGUUUUUUGAUAUCCCAAGGACACAACCAAGAAGACAAGCAUGACUUCUGAGCCUUUGUGGCCCUGCAGUGGAGUUGAUUCUGUGCUUAGGCCACUGACUGAAGCAUCGUAAGAGAAAACAGAACAUCAGGAACAGUGGAUUAGCUGUCUGGGGCAUUAUAGUCAGAUCGUACUCUUUCUCUCUCUUUUUCUUUCGUUGGUUGGGGAAAGUUUCUUGCUGAUUUUCGAGUUGCAGAACUUGGAAAAAAAAGUGACACAGCAAACUUUAACACCGUAAACUAGCGAGUUGUUUGUUUUUGUUGGUCUCCCUUCCCGCCAUUAAAGGGUGACAGCUCUCUGCCCUUUUAUUAGAGAAAGAGACAGAACCUAUGUUAUGUUGAAAUGUCUGGUGAACAAUUAAUUUUUGUUGUACUGUAGAUCAUGGCCUUUCUUGGGAGCUUUGCUAUUGUUUGCUUUCUGGG